GCGUUCUGUUAUGUUCUUUUUGUUUUGAUUGUUUUGUUUUCAUCAGAAACAACGUUCUUAAAUCUGUUAACUUCUGUGUCAUUUGGUCUCUUGUGGAGAGUUGACUCUUGGGAAAUCAUACCAACUGUUCUUUUUUUAUAUAUAUAUGAUUAAGACUAUAAUUGAGUUGGAACUAAUGAUGCUAAAAUGUCAUUCAGUACGGGACUACCGUAGCACUGGCCAG
Molecule: long non-coding RNA, 223 nt
Filed under: Mytilus galloprovincialis (Mediterranean mussel)
Lineage: Eukaryota; Metazoa; Mollusca; Bivalvia; Mytilida; Mytilidae
Source: RNAcentral